GGGGAUGUAGCUCAGCUGGGAGAGCACCUGGUUUGCAACCAGGACGUCGCAGGUUCGAUCCCUGUCAUCUCCACCA
RNAcentral lists this transfer RNA (76 nucleotides) under Candidatus Goldiibacteriota bacterium HGW-Goldbacteria-1. RNAcentral's name for it is "Candidatus Goldbacteria bacterium HGW-Goldbacteria-1 tRNA-Ala". It matches the Rfam family "tRNA". From Rfam's summary of the family: Transfer RNA (tRNA) molecules are approximately 80 nucleotides in length. Their secondary structure includes four short double-helical elements and three loops (D, anti-codon, and T loops). The record is from RNAcentral. RNAcentral also lists the same sequence under 1 other name. Lineage: Bacteria; Candidatus Goldiibacteriota.